CGUAGGCGCGAGCGUUGUCCGGAAUUAUUGGGCGUAAAGAGCUUGUAGGCGGUUUGUCGCGUCUGCUGUGAAAGGCCGGGCUUAACCCGUGUAUUGCAGUGGGUACGGGCAGACUAGAGUGCAGUAGGGAGACUGGAAUUCCUGGUGUAGCGGUGGAAUGCGCAGAUAUCAGGAGGAACACCGAUGGCGAAGGCAGGUCUCUGGGGCUGUAACUGACGCUGAGAAGCGAAAGCAGUGGGAGCGAACAGGAUU
Molecule: ribosomal RNA, 252 nt
Filed under: uncultured bacterium
Lineage: Bacteria
Description: partial 16S ribosomal RNA
Rfam family: Bacterial small subunit ribosomal RNA
Source: RNAcentral